CGAAGUCAAGUAACCUUUGCCUUCUCAACUCUUAAGAGAAUGGGCGAAACCGAGUACCCCAAUUCUCUUAUCUAUCCAGUAGAGGAGCUCUGCCCAAGUUCAAAGACCCUUCGAAGAUAAUGGAAGAUAAUAGUUGUCAAAUCCUCACCAACGGUGAUCAGUGCUACUGAGAGUAGAUUGUCCGCUUCAUUUCCCAACGAAAUGGCAAUCGAAAGCGAAAGUGAUGCGAACCUACUUGGAUGUGAC
This 246-nucleotide long non-coding RNA is filed under the name Musa acuminata (dwarf banana). Its description in RNAcentral is "long non-coding RNA (MACU_LNC005265)". Lineage: Eukaryota; Viridiplantae; Streptophyta; Magnoliopsida; Zingiberales; Musaceae. The record is from RNAcentral.